Molecule: ribosomal RNA, 400 nt
Filed under: uncultured bacterium
Lineage: Bacteria
Description: bacterial SSU rRNA
Rfam family: Bacterial small subunit ribosomal RNA
Source: RNAcentral
GGGGGAUAUUGCACAAUGGAGGAAACUCUGAUGCAGCAACGCCGCGUGAGGGAAGACGGUUUUCGGAUUGUAAACCUCUGUCCUCGGUGACGAUAAUGACGGUAGCCGAGGAGGAAGCUCCGGCUAACUACGUGCCAGCAGCCGCGGUAAUACGUAGGGAGCAAGCGUUGUCCGGAUUUACUGGGUGUAAAGGGUGCGUAGGCGGCUCUGCAAGUCAGGUGUGAAAACUAUGGGCUUAACUCAUAGAUUGCACUUGAAACUGUGGAGCUUGAGUGAAGUAGAGGCAGGCGGAAUUCCCGGUGUAGCGGUGAAAUGCGUAGAGAUCGGGAGGAACACCAGUGGCGAAGGCGGCCUGCUGGGCUUUAACUGACGCUGAGGCACGAAAGCAUGGGUAGCAAAC